RNAcentral lists this ribosomal RNA (392 nucleotides) under uncultured bacterium. RNAcentral's name for it is "partial 16S ribosomal RNA". It matches the Rfam family "Bacterial small subunit ribosomal RNA", at positions 523 to 918 of the family's 1533-position model. The record is from RNAcentral.
AUACGUAGGUGGCAAGCGUUAUCCGGAAUUAUUGGGCGUAAAGAGGGAGCAGGCGGCAGCAAGGGUCUGUGGUGAAAGCCUGAAGCUUAACUUCAGUAAGCCAUAGAAACCAGGCAGCUAGAGUGCAGGAGAGGAUCGUGGAAUUCCAUGUGUAGCGGUGAAAUGCGUAGAUAUAUGGAGGAACACCAGUGGCGAAGGCGACGAUCUGGCCUGCAACUGACGCUCAGUCCCGAAAGCGUGGGGAGCAAAUAGGAUUAGAUACCCUAGUAGUCCACGCCGUAAACGAUGAGUACUAAGUGUUGGAUGUCAAAGUUCAGUGCUGCAGUUAACGCAAUAAGUACUCCGCCUGAGUAGUACGUUCGCAAGAAUGAAACUCAAAGGAAUUGACAGGG